RNAcentral lists this ribosomal RNA (429 nucleotides) under Bacteroidota bacterium. RNAcentral describes it as "Bacteroidetes bacterium partial 16S ribosomal RNA". It matches the Rfam family "Bacterial small subunit ribosomal RNA", at positions 355 to 776 of the family's 1533-position model. Lineage: Bacteria; Pseudomonadati; Bacteroidota. The record is from RNAcentral.
UAGGGAAUCUUCGGCAAUGGGGGGAACCCUGACCGAGCAACGCCGCGUGAGUGAAGAAGGUUUUCGGAUCGUAAAGCUCUGUUGUUAAGGAAGAACGAGUGUGAGAAUGGAAAGUUCAUACUGUGACGGUACUUAACCAGAAAGGGACGGCUAACUACGUGCCAGCAGCCGCGGUAAUACGUAGGUCCCGAGCGUUGUCCGGAUUUAUUGGGCGUAAAGCGAGCGCAGGCGGUUAGAUAAGUCUGAAGUUAAAGGCAGUGGCUCAACCAUUGUAGGCUUUGGAAACUGUUUAACUUGAGUGCAGAAGGGGAGUGUGGAAUUCCAUGUGUAGCGGUGAAAUGCGUAGAUAUAUGGAGGAACACCGGUGGCGAAAGCGGCUCUCUGGUCUGUAACUGACGCUGAGGCUCGAAAGCGUGGGGAGCGAACAGG